RNAcentral lists this ribosomal RNA (531 nucleotides) under uncultured bacterium. RNAcentral describes it as "bacterial SSU rRNA". It matches the Rfam family "Bacterial small subunit ribosomal RNA", at positions 355 to 896 of the family's 1533-position model. The record is from RNAcentral.
UGGGGAAUAUUGCACAAUGGGCGAAAGCCUGAUGCAGCGACGCCGCGUGAGGGAUGACGGCCUUCGGGUUGUAAACCUCUUUCGACAGGGACGAAGCGUAAGUGACGGUACCUGUAGAAGAAGCACCGGCCAACUACGUGCCAGCAGCCGCGGUAAUACGUAGGGUGCGAGCGUUGUCCGGAAUUACUGGGCGUAAAGAGCUUGUAGGCGGUUUGUCGCGUCGUCUGUGAAAACUCACAGCUCAACUGUGAGCUUGCAGGCGAUACGGGCAGACUUGAGUACUGCAGGGGAGACUGGAAUUCCUGGUGUAGCGGUGAAAUGCGCAGAUAUCAGGAGGGACACCGGUGGCGAAGGCGGGUCUCUGGGCAGUAACUGACGCUGAGAAGCGAAAGCGUGGGUAGCGAACAGGAUUAGAUACCCUGGUAGUCCACGCCGUAAACGGUGGGUACUAGGUGUGGGUUUCCUUCCACGGGAUCCGUGCCGUAGCUAACGCAUUAAGUACCCCGCCUGGGGAGUACGGCCGCAAGGCUA